UAUGAAAAGCUUUGUUGCCAUGACUACUUGAUGAAUAAGCACAUUUUAAAAUACUUAAAAAGUGUGCUCCUAGAAAGUAAUACAGAACUAAAAGAAGUUCGUAUUAACUUAGGAAAUAUAGUUAUUAAUGAAAAAAAAGAAUGUGUUGUGAAAGCAAAAAAUGUAAGUAAUAAAAAGAUAACUUUAAAUUAUAAUAUAAAAGAUUUAGAAACAAAAGACAUACUUUUAACUUAUGACAGUAAUGCAAUAGAUGCAGGAAGAUUUAGUACCAUCAAGAUUAGUAUUGAAAAAGAUUCUACAGAUGAAAAAAGUUAUUUUGAAAAAAUAUGUAUAUAUCAAAAUGAUAACAAUUACUAUACGAUUAACAUAGAAUUUCAUUAUAUUUUACCCGAUAUAGUUUUAUACUACAAACAAAUGCAUUUUUCAAAUGUACAAGUAAAAAGUUGUUUAUGUAAAAUAAAUAGAUUAAUAAAUACUAAAAAUGUAAGUGUUAAAUUUAAAAUAAAAAAUAUAAUAUUUUAUAAUAAAAUAUUAGAAUAUUAUCAUAUGAAAAAAAAUACACAAAUUUUUAUAUACCCUAGUAAAGGAAUAAUUCAAAACAAUUCGUAUAUGGAUAUUCGAAUAUUUUUUGAACCUUCUUAUAUAUUUAAAAAUGCAAAAGUAUGUGUAGAAAUUUUUAUUUAUCAUUCUAAUGUUAUCAAAACAAUGUAUAUUUAUUUAAAUAGUGUAAAAGAUAAUAUCCAGAUUGACCCUUGUAAUAUUAUUGUUGAACCGCUUUUACUUAAUAGUAAGGAAGUAUAUAAAACAAUAAAAAUUACUAAUAGCAAUAAUUAUUCGAAACAUUUAUAUAUAUACAAAUUAGAUAAAUAUUAUGAUUACUUUGAAAGUUUUAUAUACGAUAUUUUAUUUAUUUAUAAGCAUAUAUAUAUUGAAAAAAAUGACGAUCAACAGUUGUUUUACACUAAUUUGAUACAUUUUUUGAUAAAUUUGUAUAAAAACGGGAUAAAACAGUUGAACAGUAGGACUCAACAUGGGAUUGAACCAUACAUUAAAGACAACGAACAGAAUCACGUAACAGAAGUAAACACAACAAAUGAUGAACAUAACUGUACGAAUACACCGGCAACUUUAUAUAAUCCUAGUGAAAUAUAUGCACAAGAAAAAGCUAAAAAUAUGAAAAUUUAUGAAAAUAAAAUCAGUAUGUUAGAAGAACUACUAACUCAAAAUAAAACAAAAUACAAUUAUUUUGCAGAAUAUUUAAAAAUAAUAAAAAUAAAAAAAAAAGUAAAAAAUAAUUAUAUAGUAAUAUGUCCUAAAUAUAUUAACUAUAAAAAAAUUGGUAAUUAUUUAUUUACAAGCAAUUUUUUAAAUUUUAACAAAAACGUCAAAAAAAGGAAAAACGUAACAAGAUGUGGUAAUGGUACUGCUAGUGGUAUUGAUAGUGGCACUGCUAAAGGUAUCGAUAGUGGCAUUGCUAAAGGUAUCGAUAGUGGUACUGCUAAAAGUAUCGAUAGUGGCACUGCUAAAGGUAUCGAUAGUGGUACUAACAAUGUUUUAACCAUAAGUAAAAUAAUCGAUUGGUGUAAUAAAAUGAAAGAAAAGGAAGACUACCCACAUGAUGUGAAAGCUGACUUUAUUCAUUUUGUAGUUUAUGAAAAAAGUGUAAACAGUAUGAUUAAUCGGUGUAAUAACGAUAGUACUAAUACGACUGUUGAUACAAAAAAUUUAAAAGACAUAAGCGAACGUACUAAAAAUAAGAAAAAACAAAAUAUAUAUGCAAAAAGUAAAAACCAGGUAAAUAUAGACAAUUACAUUAGUGAAAAAUUAAACUUGAGAGAAAAAAAUCAAAAAGUAAAACAUGAAUUAGACAUAUUAGAACCAAAUGGCUUUGUUGAUAAUGAAAAAAAAAAUAAUGAAGAUAUAAAAAAUAUGGAAGGUGUGGAACAUGUAAGUAAAAAAGGGAACUACAAUACUAAUUGUACUGAUGAUAAUGUAGUUAGUAAAAAGAGAGAUAUUCAUAGCAACAUCAGAAAGAAUUAUUUGAUAAAUACAUAUAAAAAUCGAAUUAAAAAAACUUUAAAAUUGCCUAAUUUAAAAGGAAAAAUGAACAAUAAACGUGUAUUACCAUCUUCGUCACCACCACCACGGUCACCAUCACUGUUGUCGGACACUAUUACACAGGGAGAUAAGCAUACAAAAAAUUUUAGUAGUAAAAAAAAGAAACGCGAACUUGACAGUAUCCUUAAUGAACGUAUUUUUUUUAAUAAAUAUAAUUUAAAAUAUAAAUUGGAAUAUAUAAAUUACUUUUAUGAAUUUGCACUUUUAAACGAUAAUGAAUUUAUGCAUAAUAUAAAACAUUUUUUAAAAUUGGUACAAUCGGAUGA
Molecule: long non-coding RNA, 2384 nt
Filed under: Piliocolobus tephrosceles (Ugandan red Colobus)
Lineage: Eukaryota; Metazoa; Chordata; Mammalia; Primates; Cercopithecidae
Description: lncRNA (ENSPTEG00000011633.1)
Source: RNAcentral